GGCCCGUGGCGCAUGCUUACACAUUGCAGUUCAAAGCCGAAGCCGCUUUUCCCGGAAGUUUUCGGAACGGAAAAAGGGAAAGACUGAAGCGGCGGAACGGGUGAAGUAACGCGUGGGGAACCUGCCUCAUACAGGGGAAUAACAGAUGGAAACGUCUGCUAAUGCCGCAUAAGCGCACACUGUGGCAUCACAGAGUGUGAAAAACUCCGGUGGUAUGAGAUGGCCCCGCGUCUGAUUAGGCAGUUGGCGGGGUAACGGCCCACCAAACCGACGAUCAGUAGCCGACCUGAGAGGGUGACCGGCCACAUUGGGACUGAGACACGGCCCAAACUCCUACGGGAGGCAGCAGUGGGGAAUAUUGCACAAUGGGGGAAACCCUGAUGCAGCGACGCCGCGUGGGUGACGAAGUAUUUCGGUAUGUAAAGCCCUAUCAGCAGGGAAGAAGAUGACAGUACCUGACUAAGAAGCCCCGGCUAACUACGUGCCAGCAGCCGCGGUAAUACGUAGGGGGCAAGCGUUAUCCGGAUUUACUGGGUGUAAAGGGAGCGUAGGUGGCAUGGCAAGCCAGAAGUGAAAACCCGGGGCUUAACCCCGCGGAUUGCUUUUGGAACUGUCAGGCUGGAGUGCAGGAGGGGCAGGCGGAAUUCCUGNUGUAGCGGUGAAAUGCGUAAAUAUCAGGAGGAACACCGGUGGCGAAGGCGGCCUGCUGGACUUUAACUGACACUGAGGCUCGAAAGCGUGGGGAGCAAA
Molecule: ribosomal RNA, 750 nt
Filed under: uncultured bacterium
Lineage: Bacteria
Description: bacterial SSU rRNA
Rfam family: Bacterial small subunit ribosomal RNA
Source: RNAcentral